Molecule: ribosomal RNA, 604 nt
Filed under: uncultured Actinobacteridae bacterium
Lineage: Bacteria; Bacillati; Actinomycetota; Actinomycetes
Description: bacterial SSU rRNA
Rfam family: Bacterial small subunit ribosomal RNA
Source: RNAcentral
GUGGGGUAAUGGCCUACCAAGGCUUUGACGGGUAGCCGGCCUGAGAGGGUGACCGGUCACACUGGGACUGAGACACGGCCCAGACUCCUACGGGAGGCAGCAGUGGGGAAUAUUGGACAAUGGGCGGAAGCCUGAUCCAGCAACGCCGCGUGAGGGAUGACGGCCUUCGGGUUGUAAACCUCUUUCAGUACCGACGAAGGGAAACUGACGGUAGGUACAGAAGAAGCACCGGCCAACUACGUGCCAGCAGCCGCGGUAAUACGUAGGGUGCGAGCGUUGUCCGGAAUUAUUGGGCGUAAAGGGCUCGUAGGCGGUUUGUCGCGUCGGGAGUGAAAACAUCCAGCUUAACUGGGUGCUUGCUUUCGAUACGGGCAGACUUGAGGUAUGCAGGGGAGACUGGAAUUCCUGGUGUAGCGGUGAAAUGCGCAGAUAUCAGGAGGAACACCGGUGGCGAAGGCGGUUCUCUGGGCAUUACCUGACGCUGAGGAGCGAAAGUGUGGGGAGCAAACAGGAUUAGAUACCCUGGUAGUCCACACCGUAAACGUUGGGCGCUAGGUGUGGGACCUAUUCCAUGGGUUCCGUGCCGUAGCUAACGCAUUAAGCG